CCUACGGGAGGCAGCAGUGAGGAAUAUUGGUCAAUGGGCGCGAGCCUGAACCAGCCAAGUCGCGUGAGGGAGGACGGCCCUACGGGUUGUAAACCUCUUUUGCCAGGGAGCAACGGGCGUCACGUGUAGCGCCACCGAGAGUACCCGAAGAAAAAGCAUCGGCUAACUCCGUGCCAGCAGCCGCGGUAAUACGGAGGAUGCGAGCGUUAUCCGGAUUUAUUGGGUUUAAAGGGUGCGUAGGCGGAACGUUAAGUCAGCGGUCAAAUUGCGGGGCUCAACCCCUCACCGCCAUUGAAACUGGCGUUCUUGAGUGGAAGAGAAGUAUGCGGAAUGCGUGGUGUAGCGGUGAAAUGCAUAGAUAUCACGCAGAACCCCGAUUGCGAAGGCAGCAUGCCGGCUUCCGACUGACGCUGAAGCACGAAAGCGUGGGGAUCGAACAGGAUUAGAUACCCCUGUAGUC
This 460-nucleotide ribosomal RNA is filed under the name uncultured bacterium. Its description in RNAcentral is "partial 16S ribosomal RNA". It matches the Rfam family "Bacterial small subunit ribosomal RNA", at positions 338 to 795 of the family's 1533-position model. The record is from RNAcentral.